This 275-nucleotide ribosomal RNA is filed under the name uncultured bacterium. RNAcentral's name for it is "partial 16S ribosomal RNA". It matches the Rfam family "Bacterial small subunit ribosomal RNA", at positions 338 to 610 of the family's 1533-position model. The record is from RNAcentral.
CCUACGGGGGGCUGCAGUGAGGAAUAUUGGACAAUGGGCGCAAGCCUGAUCCAGCCAUGCCGCGUGCAGGAUGACGGUCCUAUGGAUUGUAAACUGCUUUUGUACGGGAAGAAACACUCCAACGUGUUGGAGCUUGACGGUACCGUAAGAAUAAGGAUCGGCUAACUCCGUGCCAGCAGCCGCGGUAAUACGGAGGAUCCAAGCGUUAUCCGGAAUCAUUGGGUUUAAAGGGUCCGUAGGCGGUUUUGUAAGUCAGUGGUGAAAUCCGGCAGCUC